RNAcentral lists this ribosomal RNA (165 nucleotides) under uncultured bacterium. Its description in RNAcentral is "partial 16S rRNA". It matches the Rfam family "Bacterial small subunit ribosomal RNA", at positions 355 to 511 of the family's 1533-position model. The record is from RNAcentral.
UAGGGAAUCUUCGGCAAUGGACGAAAGUCUGACCGAGCAACGCCGCGUGAGUGAAGAAGGUUUUCGGAUCGUAAAACUCCGUUGGUAGAGAAGAACGUUGGUGAGAGUGGAAAGCUCAUCAAGUGACGGUAACUACCCAGAAAGGGACGGCUAACUACGUCNCGA